This 432-nucleotide ribosomal RNA is filed under the name uncultured bacterium. RNAcentral's name for it is "bacterial SSU rRNA". It matches the Rfam family "Bacterial small subunit ribosomal RNA", at positions 340 to 786 of the family's 1533-position model. The record is from RNAcentral.
UACGGGAGGCAGCAGUGGGGAAUCUUGCGCAAUGGGCGAAAGCCUGACGCAGCCAUGCCGCGUGAAUGAUGAAGGUCUUAGGAUUGUAAAAUUCUUUCACCGGGGACGAUAAUGACGGUACCCGGAGAAGAAGCCCCGGCUAACUUCGUGCCAGCAGCCGCGGUAAUACGAAGGGGGCUAGCGUUGCUCGGAAUUACUGGGCGUAAAGGGCGCGUAGGCGGAUCGUUAAGUCAGAGGUGAAAUCCCAGGGCUCAACCCCUGGAACUGCCUUUUGAUACUGGCGAUCUUGAGUAUGAGAGAGGUAUGUGGAACUCCGAGUGUAGAGGUGAAAUUCGUAGAUAUUCGGAAGAACACCAGUGGCGAAGGCGACAUACUGGCUCAUUACUGACGCUGAGGCGCGAAAGCGUGGGGAGCAAACAGGGAUUAGAUACC